This 253-nucleotide ribosomal RNA is filed under the name uncultured bacterium. RNAcentral describes it as "partial 16S ribosomal RNA". It matches the Rfam family "Bacterial small subunit ribosomal RNA", at positions 524 to 776 of the family's 1533-position model. The record is from RNAcentral.
UACAGAGGUCCCAAGCGUUGUUCGGAUUCACUGGGCGUAAAGGGUGCGUAGGCGGUUUGACAAGUCUGAUGUGAAAUCCCGCAGCUUAACUGCGGAACUGCAUUGGAAACUGUUUGACUAGAGGAAUGGAGGGGAGACUGGAAUACUUGGUGUAGCAGUGAAAUGCGCAGAUAUCAGGAAGAACACCCGUGGCGAAGGCGGUUCUCUGGGACGGUACUGACGCUGAGACGCGAAAGCGUGGGGAGCGAACAGG